RNAcentral lists this ribosomal RNA (110 nucleotides) under Shigella sonnei. The record is from RNAcentral. Lineage: Bacteria; Pseudomonadati; Pseudomonadota; Gammaproteobacteria; Enterobacterales; Enterobacteriaceae.
CGGCCGUAGCGCGGUGGUCCCACCUGACCCCAUGCCGAACUCAGAAGUGAAACGCCGUAGCGCCGAUGGUAGUGUGGGGUCUCCCAUGCGAGAGUAGGGAACUGCCAGGC